This 687-nucleotide long non-coding RNA is filed under the name Ananas comosus (pineapple). RNAcentral describes it as "long non-coding RNA (ACOM_LNC026902)". Lineage: Eukaryota; Viridiplantae; Streptophyta; Magnoliopsida; Poales; Bromeliaceae. The record is from RNAcentral.
UUAUUAUGCAACAAUUCAUUUAAAAAAAUUUUUAAGAGAAAUACAAAUAAUUUUAUUCUUCUCUUUAUUUUAUUAGAUAAAUAGAUAUAUAAAUAAAUAUAUUACAUAACUAUUAUCUUUAUGAUAAUAUAUUUUUACUUAAAUCUUAUUAUAUAAUAAAAGUUAAUUAUAUUUAUAUAUUAUUUAUUUUAUUAAGUUGUAUCAUUUAUAUAUUAAUAUUUUAUUAUUUUAUUUUAUUUAUUAUAUAUAUUAAAUUAUGUUUUAUAUAUUAUAUUAAUAUAUUUGUACUACUUAUAAAAGUGUGAGUUUAGUUUAGUUUUUUUUUCUUUCCAAAAAUAUCACUAUCUUUUUAGUAAUAUUUUCAUGUUCAGUAAUUUUGAACUAUUUAUUUCAAAUGAUUCAGUUAUUCUCAAAUAUAGAUCUUAAUUUUUUGCCAUUAAAUGUCAUGCUCCGGGGUUCAUUUGAAAACCCAUUUUAGGAAAGCUAGCGAAAAAACAUGUGAUUUGAUUUUUUUUUUUUUAUAACUCCUUUAAAGAGUACCCUGUGACGCACACAGACCUGCCACAUAGACAGAAGAUCCUCUAAACAACCGGACAGAGUCUCCCCUUUAUAUGCACGGCGCAGUACCUGAAUACAAGUAUCAAUCAUACAAACAACCACACAACGAAAGCAACAAUUAAUUAUCAA